CCUACGGGAGGCAGCAGUGGGGAAUAUUGCACAAUGGGGGAAACCCUGAUGCAGCGACGCCGCGUGAGUGAGGAAGUAUUUCGGUAUGUAAAGCUCUAUCAGCAGGGAAGAAAAUGACGGUACCUGACUAAGAAGCCCCGGCUAACUACGUGCCAGCAGCCGCGGUAAUACGUAGGGGGCAAGCGUUAUCCGGAUUUACUGGGUGGAAAGGGAGCGUAGACGGCUAAUCAAGUCAGAAGUGAAAACCCAUGGCUCAACGUUGGGACUGCUUUUGAAAAUGAGUAGCUAGAGUGCAGGAGAGGUAAGCGGAAUUCCUAGUGUAGCGGUGAAAUGCGUAGAUAUUAGGAGGAACACCAGUGGCGAAGGCGGCUUACUGGACUGUAACUGACGUUGAGGCUCGAAAGCGUGGGGAGCAAACAGGAUUAGAUACCCCAGUAGUC
RNAcentral lists this ribosomal RNA (440 nucleotides) under uncultured bacterium. Its description in RNAcentral is "partial 16S ribosomal RNA". It matches the Rfam family "Bacterial small subunit ribosomal RNA", at positions 338 to 795 of the family's 1533-position model. The record is from RNAcentral.